GCUCCUGAAAUUAUUUCCUCACCUGAAGGAAGGUGAACAAAUGAAUACAAUCCAGUCAAGCAAGUAAUGAUAUCAUUAUCUGCUUUCAUCAGUUUCAUGCACAUUAAUUACAGAGACAUGCAAAUACAAAAAAAAAGUAACAGAACUGAAAAUACAAAUAUGCAUAACCAACAGAUCACUCCAUUUAGCAUGUAAUAAUAUGCUUGUGAGAAGAUCUUGCAAAAGAAAACCUGCAUUUAUAUUUUGAUUUAUAAUAUCCCAAGAUACCAGAUGCAAGACAAAAAUUUGAAACAUAAAUUAAAAAAUGGCAAUGAGAAAGAACUUUCUCCUCUACCUCGAAUAAAGACAUCAAACGA
Molecule: unclassified non-coding RNA, 356 nt
Filed under: Hevea brasiliensis (rubber tree)
Lineage: Eukaryota; Viridiplantae; Streptophyta; Magnoliopsida; Malpighiales; Euphorbiaceae
Source: RNAcentral